This 343-nucleotide long non-coding RNA is filed under the name Struthio camelus australis. RNAcentral's name for it is "lncRNA (ENSSCUG00000010180.1)". The record is from RNAcentral. Lineage: Eukaryota; Metazoa; Chordata; Aves; Struthioniformes; Struthionidae.
UUCGCCUGAGGCUCCCGGCAUGCUUAGCUGACUCGCAGACGACUUUUCCCCUCCUCACAGGUCUUCUAGCCGAUCUCGCCAUGUUCAGCAAGAAGAAGAAACGCAUCGAGAUCUCCGCUCCCUCCAACUUCGAGCACCGCGUCCACACCGGCUACGACCAGCAGGAGCAGAAGUUCACCGGGCUGCCGCGGCCAUAAAAACCCCCGUUGCCAUCCCCGCCAUCCAGCACGGCUCGCAGAAGGUAGGCGGCUUCGCGGGGGCUGGCGGGGUUGGGGGGCUCCUGCUCUCUGCCCUCCUCUUGAGCGUGGAGGCGCCUGCUCCCCGUGAUUUAUUCGGUCCUCCU